AACGAACGCUGGCGGCAGGCCUAAUACAUGCAAGUCGAACGCACCUUCGGGUGAGUGGCAGACGGGUGAGUAACGCGUGGGAACCUUCCUUGUAGUACGGAAUAACUCCGGGAAACCGGUGCUAAUACCGUAUACGCCCUCCGGGGGAAAGAUUUAUCGCUACAAGAUGGGCCCGCGUUGGAUUAGCUAGUUGGCGAGGUAAUGGCUCACCAAGGCGACGAUCCAUAGCUGGUCUGAGAGGAUGAUCAGCCACACUGGGACUGAGACACGGCCCAGACUCCUACGGGAGGCAGCAGUAGGGAAUCUUGGACAAUGGGCGAAAGCCUGAUCCAGCCAUGCCGCGUGAGUGAAGAAGGCCUUAGGGUUGUAAAGCUCUUUUGGCGGGGACGAUAAUGACGGUACCCGCAGAAUAAGCCCCGGCUAACUUCGUGCCAGCAGCCGCAGUAAAAC
RNAcentral lists this ribosomal RNA (450 nucleotides) under uncultured bacterium. RNAcentral describes it as "bacterial SSU rRNA". It matches the Rfam family "Bacterial small subunit ribosomal RNA", at positions 29 to 526 of the family's 1533-position model. The record is from RNAcentral.